CUAAGUUCCUUGGAACAGGACGUCAUAGAGGGUGAGAAUCCCGUAUGUGACUGGCUGCCUCCGCCCAUGUGAAGCUCUUUCGACGAGUCGAGUUGUUUGGGAAUGCAGCUCAAAAUGGGUGGUAAAUUUCAUCUAAAGCUAAAUAUUGGCCAGAGACCGAUAGCGCACAAGUAGAGUGAUCGAAAGAUGAAAAGCACUUUGGAAAGAGAGUUAAACAGUACGUGAAAUUGUUGAAAGGGAAGCGCUUGCAAUCAGACUUGCGCGCGGUCGAUCAUCCGGGGUUCUCCCCGGUGCACUCGGCCGCGCUCAGGCCAGCAUCGGUUUCGGUGGUGGGAUAAAGGCCUUGGGAAUGUAGCUCCUCUCGGGGAGUGUUAUAGCCCUCGGUGCAAUGCCGCCUAUCGGGACCGAGGACCGCGCUUCGGCUAGGAUGCUGGCGUAAUGGUUGCAAGCGACCCGUCUUGAAACACGGACCAAGGAGUCUAACAUUUAUGCGAGUGUUUGGGUGUUAAACCCAUACGCGUAAUGAAAGUGAACGGAGGUGAGAACCCUUAAGGGUGCAUCAUCGACCGAUCCUGAUGUCUUCGGAUGGAUUUGAGUAAGAGCAUAACUGUUGGGACCCGAAAGAUGGUGAACUAUGCCUGAAUAGGGGAAGCCAGAGGAAA
This 662-nucleotide ribosomal RNA is filed under the name Calycina herbarum. RNAcentral describes it as "eukaryotic LSU rRNA". It matches the Rfam family "Eukaryotic large subunit ribosomal RNA", at positions 181 to 861 of the family's 3401-position model. Lineage: Eukaryota; Fungi; Ascomycota; Leotiomycetes; Helotiales; Pezizellaceae. The record is from RNAcentral.